RNAcentral lists this ribosomal RNA (653 nucleotides) under bacterium YG-65. RNAcentral's name for it is "bacterial SSU rRNA". It matches the Rfam family "Bacterial small subunit ribosomal RNA", at positions 786 to 1439 of the family's 1533-position model. The record is from RNAcentral.
CCUGGUAGUCCACGCUGUAAACGAUGUCGACUUGGAGGUUGUUCCCUUGAGGAGUGGCUUCCGGAGCUAACGCGUUAAGUCGACCGCCUGGGGAGUACGGCCGCAAGGUUAAAACUCAAAUGAAUUGACGGGGGCCCGCACAAGCGGUGGAGCAUGUGGUUUAAUUCGAUGCAACGCGAAGAACCUUACCUACUCUUGACAUCCAGAGAACUUAGCAGAGAUGCUUUGGUGCCUUCGGGAACUCUGAGACAGGUGCUGCAUGGCUGUCGUCAGCUCGUGUUGUGAAAUGUUGGGUUAAGUCCCGCAACGAGCGCAACCCUUAUCCUUUGUUGCCAGCGGUUCGGCCGGGAACUCAAAGGAGACUGCCAGUGAUAAACUGGAGGAAGGUGGGGAUGACGUCAAGUCAUCAUGGCCCUUACGAGUAGGGCUACACACGUGCUACAAUGGCAUAUACAAAGAGAAGCGACCUCGCGAGAGCAAGCGGACCUCAUAAAGUAUGUCGUAGUCCGGAUCGGAGUCUGCAACUCGACUCCGUGAAGUCGGAAUCGCUAGUAAUCGUGGAUCAGAAUGCCACGGUGAAUACGUUCCCGGGCCUUGUACACACCGCCCGUCACACCAUGGGAGUGGGUUGCAAAAGAAGUAGGUAGCUUAAC